Molecule: ribosomal RNA, 185 nt
Filed under: uncultured bacterium
Lineage: Bacteria
Description: partial 16S ribosomal RNA
Rfam family: Bacterial small subunit ribosomal RNA
Source: RNAcentral
GCCUGCAUGAAGUCGGAAUUGCUGUAAUCGCGGAUCAGCAUGCCGCGGUGAAUACGUUCCCGGGCCUUGUACACACCGCCCGUCACACCAUGGGAGCCGGUAAUACCCGAAGUCAGUAGUCCAACCUCGUGAGGACGCUGCCGAAGGUAGGAUUGGCGACUGGGGUGAAGUCGUAACAAGGUAAC